Molecule: non-coding RNA, 2324 nt
Organism: Poecilia reticulata (guppy)
Lineage: Eukaryota; Metazoa; Chordata; Actinopteri; Cyprinodontiformes; Poeciliidae
Source: RefSeq, a predicted model, not a curated record
AAAGAAGGCAAUAAAGAAACCUUUUCAGAGGAGCUGAAUGAGAGAACGAAGAAGAAAUGAAUCCCUUUUGGAUGUUGCGACCGGAGAGGCCUUUUUAUUUUCUUUGCUCGGGUAAUCAAAUGGAGCUGAAAUGAAAAUGGAGUUUUCUAUGAAAAUAGGGGCCUUUGUUGGCUUUGGAAGGCUGGUAAUUCAUAAACAAUAAGCCGGCUCCUUUUGUUUGGGUUAUAAUAUAUUCCUGCUGUUCUGAAAGAGGUCCCUCGCUGCACACACAUGCACUCGCGCACAUUGAAGCCAGGGUAAAAGCCAAAGUGAGGCAGCAGGGGAAGAGAGAAAGAGGGAGGAUAAAAGGAGGCAGAGAGGCUGACUUUCUAUUCAUCCUCCUGACUGAGAGACGGCAGGAUGCUCAACUCCUCACCUCACUUCCUCCGCUCGGCAACUUUUCCUCUCUGAGCAUUUUGGUUCUUUUAUUCCUGCAGGUGAGAAUGGAUCAUUUUUGACGGGGUUGUUUUUUCUGAGUGCUUGGCGAGUCCUGAGGGAAGAAGUACGGACGUGAGGCUGUUGAUGGAUCUUUUUUUCAACGGAUGCAGCAUCUGAUUCUUUGGGAAACAAAAAUAUCAACGUGAUUGAAACAAGAACUGCAAAGCAAACAGAAGAGAGAACUGCACUUCACAUCUUCAAGCGGCAAUUUUUCAACAUCCAUCCAGUGAGGAGCGUGCAUUAAGUGAGAUUUCAAACCUUCUCGCCUCCUGUGACUGAAAAGUGUCGGGAAAACUUUCCUGAGUUGGAAAAUGCUGAAGAAAGAAGAGAAAACAUCAGAUGAUGUCAUAUGCAUUUUCCGAAGAGAUUUUAACUCUUACUGACUGAAGGAGGAUAUGAAUUCUUCAUAAUUUAAUGUGAUCCUCUGUAGUCGGGAUCCCAGGAGGAAACAGGAACACAGAAUGGAUCAACUGAAGAUUGACAUGGACUGAUCUUCAAACUUUUACCAACUGAAUACAUGUUUGUGGACGAACGAGAGCAUGUACUUCAAUAAUAGACUAAGAACAUUCUGUCUUUUAAUAGUUUCAAAUUUAGAAAGCUUAGAUGUACAUUUGUUGAAAUAAUUAAGAAGAUAUUAUUUAACCUGCUUAUUAUUAUUAUCAGGACAGGUAAGUUAAUACAUUAAACAGCAAGGCUCCUUUUUACCCAUCUGACUCCAAAAUAUGUAAAAAAAAAAUGUAUUUAAUGUCUUAUUUAUUUUUGUUAAAACUACGGCUGCGAGUCCAACAUCAGAAAAACUUUAUUUCUGUUGCUACUCAAUACUUUUUCAAAUCUUGAUGCUGAGUUGAUGUCAAAUCAUUGUCACCAAAUCAGAUUCAUUUUCUAGAUCAAAGAUGGAAAAGUGUUCAUGAGCGGGACAUUUUACUGAGAUAAACUCACUUCAAACUAUUCAUUUGGACUAAUUCUUUUGAGUGUGUUUUGCAAAUAAAUGUUUAUCUCCAUUUAUAUGUGUAACUUUCAACUAAAUAAGCUUUUAUUAACACAGUCUCCUAAUGUUUAGUGGAAAAGUACUGCUGCUGGCUUUCAUGACAAUCACUUUCAGUCACAAUCCACUGGCAGCCAGAAAUGAUGGCAGAAAGUGACAGACAGGAGCUAAAACAGGAAUAUGGCGUGACAGAGCUAAAGCCUGUCACAGUGGUGUCCCUUUUUCUGUUCAGGAGUUGCACAAAGCCGUCAGCUCUGAAAGGUCAACCUGCUCUAGACCGCACUGUAAAUGAAGUGACCAGAGUGGCCCUGGAAUCCCAGAUGAAGCCGAUUCUCUUCAUCAGCUGUCAAUUGAUUCUCUUACUAAAUACCUCAACACUGAACACCAGAGACACGUGUGGUAUCCAAGUCUUUCAGAGCAAUCACACAAUGGAGUCCUCUUAACGAGCAACGCGGCAGCUAAGGAGGAAAAGUCCUCGCCAUGCCAACAUGGCUCACCAGCCUGCUGAGAGCCGAGCAGCACCUGACAGAUGCCACUUUGGGGGCAAAAUCCCAGAGGGCUCCAAAGAGCCGACACAGGACUGAAGCCAAGGGAGCAGGAGCCUGGAAUACCGAAACGCGUUACAGUUAUAUGUAUAAAUAUGAUUGCUAAAAUCCAUUUAACUAUCCACACUUCAAGCUGCAGUAUGUAAAGCAAAUGUUUUUUACACAUGUGUUGUUAAGAGACAGAUGAUCUUUGAAAAGAUCAAUUUCCUCCACCUGUUCCAAUAGCAACUAUUGCCAUCUCAAGAAAUGCACCACUCCUGACCAAAAACAACCAAUCAGAGUCGGGGGGAAGGUCUUAGUGCUGUCAAUCAGUCCUG